This 72-nucleotide transfer RNA is filed under the name Caudoviricetes sp. RNAcentral's name for it is "tRNA-Gln". It matches the Rfam family "tRNA". Rfam says of the family: Transfer RNA (tRNA) molecules are approximately 80 nucleotides in length. Their secondary structure includes four short double-helical elements and three loops (D, anti-codon, and T loops). The record is from RNAcentral. Lineage: Duplodnaviria; Heunggongvirae; Uroviricota; Caudoviricetes.
AUGGGUAUCGCCAAGCGGUAAGGCAUUGGAUUUUGAUUCCAAGAUUCGCCGGUUCGAAUCCGGCUACCCGUG